UAUAAAGUUAUAUGAAACUUAUUAAAAGGCUGCAUUUUAAAAUAGAAAAAGGUUAUUUAGAGUUGUAAUAUUAUUUCAUGAUUUUACUGUUUUUUGAGCAAAUAAAUGCAGCCUUGAUGAUCAUAAGAGUCUUCUAUCAAAGUAUUUACUUUUGAACGGUAGUGUAUCUACGGUUAUCUGUACCAACUGCUAAUUUGAUAGUAACCACCACUGACUUGAAGGAUUCUGAAAGCUACUUAUAUUGUUUGAAGGAAAUACCCCAUAAUAAUCUUUCAUUUGUAACAGUAUUAACUGUAAUCUUUGAGCAGAAACUAUGGUUACUGUGGUAACUUACUGUAAUAACUAACUCUCAGGUCAAGGGUAAAACCUAAACUUGCCUGAAGACGGAAGACCUAAAGAAACGGGCUUUCAACAGCCUUUCUUUCAUUUCUGAAGGUGUAGAUACUUGAGAAAAAAAAAGUGUCACUAUUUUUGACUUUUUUGUUUUUUACUUUCCAUUGAGCUCAUGUACCUUUAUUGUAAAGAAUUUGUAAUGUAGUGGAAUACUAGUUUACUGUUGCUCAAUCAAACUUAUCCUGUGCUCUCAUCAUACCUUUUUGAUAUUUUAUGGUAUGAAUAUUUAAGCCCUUCAGGAUGCUGAAAUUCAGCUCCUAUUCAGCCGAUAAUCGGAGAGCAACGGAGGCUUGUCUGUGCGACAGAAUAGAGUAGAAGUUGUUUAAAACCACUAUUAUUUUUUAACCCAUUUUGUCUUUAAUAUAUUAACAUAGACUUCAUUAUUAGAAGCUCAUUUUUGUCUCUGUUAUGUUUGUGUUUCACAAUCAGCUAAAAAUGGCUUUGUUUACAUGUUCCAGAAAUGUAAAGUUUAGCAUGUAAACGUGUCUGGUGACGCAUUGUUGUCUGAUCCCUAGGCAUUACAAAGUUUUGAUUCUGUUUGGAGACGUGUGUCUCCUGUAGAUCAGUGCCUGCUGUUUCAAAUGUACCUCAAAGAUGAUUGGUCAUCCAAGUCAUAUGCCUUUGAGAUACACUUGUAGUGUUACAUGUGUUUAUCACUAUAGAUAUUUUUGUCUUUGGGUUUUUUUAAACUGUAAAUAUUCAUGCCAUGUACAAAGAAAAUGAGCUGUAUUAUAAAAAUUCUGUUCAUGCUUUUCUUUUUUUUAAAUAAAAUGUUUCGCAAAACA
Molecule: long non-coding RNA, 1178 nt
Organism: Sinocyclocheilus grahami
Lineage: Eukaryota; Metazoa; Chordata; Actinopteri; Cypriniformes; Cyprinidae
Exons: 2
Source: RefSeq, a predicted model, not a curated record